UACGGAGGGGGCUAGCGUUGUUCGGAAUUACUGGGCGUAAAGCGCACGUAGGCGGCUCUUUAAGUCGGAGGUGAAAUCCUGGAGCUCAACUCCAGAACUGCCUUCGAUACUGGAAGACUUGAGUCCGGGAGAGGUGAGUGGAACUGCGAGUGUAGAGGUGAAAUUCGUAGAUAUUCGCAAGAACACCAGUGGCGAAGGCGGCUCACUGGCCCGGUACUGACGCUGAGGUGCGAAAGCGUGGGGAGCAAACAGG
Molecule: ribosomal RNA, 253 nt
Filed under: uncultured bacterium
Lineage: Bacteria
Description: partial 16S ribosomal RNA
Rfam family: Bacterial small subunit ribosomal RNA
Source: RNAcentral